UACGUAGGUGGCAAGCGUUGUCCGGAUUUGCUGGGCGUAAAGAGCGCGCAGGCGGUCGGAUAAGUCGAAUGUGAAAGCCCCCGGCUCAACUGGGGAGGGUCAUUCGAUACUGUUCGACUCGAAGGCAGGAGAGGGAAGUGGAAUUCCCGGUGUAGUGGUGAAAUGCGUAGAUAUCGGGAGGAACACCAGUGGCGAAGGCGACUUCCUGGCCUGUUCUUGACGCUGAGGCGCGAAAGCGUGGGGAGCAAACGGG
RNAcentral lists this ribosomal RNA (253 nucleotides) under uncultured bacterium. RNAcentral describes it as "partial 16S ribosomal RNA". It matches the Rfam family "Bacterial small subunit ribosomal RNA", at positions 524 to 776 of the family's 1533-position model. The record is from RNAcentral.